Non-coding RNA from Misgurnus anguillicaudatus (oriental weatherfish), 296 nucleotides. NCBI's taxonomy places the organism in Eukaryota, Metazoa, Chordata, Actinopteri, Cypriniformes, Cobitidae. The record is from RefSeq and is a predicted model, not a curated record.
CACAGCGAGCAGUCCUCCUUAGACGAAAUUCAGCCCCGUGGCCAUUCUUCUUCUGUUUCUCAUGUUUAAGCCAAAGAUGGGGGUCAAUAAAAGCAGGAGACUUGACUUGCGUCAGUGCUGGGCUAAUCUGUAAAGUCACCUUGAAUCUAUCCUUCAGCUUUUCCAGCCUUGCUCAGUAAGAAGCUAAUACAAUAAAAUGCUUUCUUACUCUAACUUUAAUCUGAUUGAUUUUAUUUGAUAUCUUGUCUUAAGACAAAUAGAAAAUUUGAUUGUAAUAAACAUUGAUCGCCCAAUAA